AUUGAACGCUGGCGGCAUGCUUUACACAUGCAAGUCGAACGGCAGCGCGGGCUUCGGCCUGGCGGCGAGUGGCGAACGGGUGAGUAAUAUAUCGGAACGUACCCAAGAGUGGGGAUAACGUAGCGAAAGUUACGCUAAUACCGCAUACGAUCUAAGGAUGAAAGCAGGGGAUCGCAAGACCUUGUGCUCCUGGAGCGGCCGAUAUCUGAUUAGCUAGUUGGUGGGGUAAAGGCCCCACCAAGGCAACGAUCAGUAGCUGGUCUGAGAGGACGACCAGCCACACUGGAACUGAGACACGGUCCAGACUCCUACGGGAGGCAGCAGUGGGGAAUUUUGGACAAUGGGCGCAAGCCUGAUCCAGCAAUGCCGCGUGAGUGAAGAAGGCCUCGG
This 390-nucleotide ribosomal RNA is filed under the name uncultured bacterium. RNAcentral describes it as "bacterial SSU rRNA". It matches the Rfam family "Bacterial small subunit ribosomal RNA", at positions 30 to 420 of the family's 1533-position model. The record is from RNAcentral.